RNAcentral lists this ribosomal RNA (478 nucleotides) under uncultured Porphyromonas sp. Its description in RNAcentral is "bacterial SSU rRNA". It matches the Rfam family "Bacterial small subunit ribosomal RNA", at positions 301 to 776 of the family's 1533-position model. Lineage: Bacteria; Pseudomonadati; Bacteroidota; Bacteroidia; Bacteroidales; Porphyromonadaceae. The record is from RNAcentral.
UGAACCCCCACACUGGUACUGAGACACGGACCAGACUCCUACGGGAGGCAGCAGUGAGGAAUAUUGGUCAAUGGGCGAGAGCCUGAACCAGCCAAGUCGCGUGAAGGAUGACUGUCUUAUGGAUUGUAAACUUCUUUUGUAGGGGAAUAAAGAACGGCACGUGUGCCGUAGUGAAUGUACCCUACGAAUAAGCAUCGGCUAACUCCGUGCCAGCAGCCGCGGUAAUACGGAGGAUGCGAGCGUUAUCCGGAUUUAUUGGGUUUAAAGGGUGCGUAGGCGGCCUGUUAAGUCAGCGGUGAAAUCUAGGAGCUUAACUCCUAAAUUGCCAUUGAUACUGGCGGGCUUGAGUGUAGAUGAGGUAGGCGGAAUGUGUGGUGUAGCGGUGGAAUGCAUAGAUAUCACGCAGAACUCCGAUUGCGAAGGCAGCUUAAUAAGGUACAACUGACGGUGAAGCACGAAAGCGUGGGUAUCAAACAGG